This 336-nucleotide unclassified non-coding RNA is filed under the name soil metagenome. Its description in RNAcentral is "partial contains 5.8S ribosomal RNA, internal transcribed spacer 2, and large subunit ribosomal RNA". The stretch from base 1 to 119 matches the Rfam family "5.8S ribosomal RNA", at positions 35 to 154 of the family's 154-position model. The record is from RNAcentral.
GAUGAAGACGCAGCGAAAUGCGAUAAGUAAUGUGAAUUGCAGAAUUCAGUGAAUCAUCGAAUCUUUGAACGCACAUUGCGCCCCUUGGUAUUCCAUGGGGCAUGCCUGUUCGAGCGUCAUUUGUACCUUCAAGCUCUGCUUGGUGUUGGGUGUUUGUCUCGCCUCUGCGUGUAGACUCGCCUCAAAAUAAUUGGCAGCCGGCGUAUUGAUUUCGGAGCGCAGUACAUCUCGCGCUUUGCACUCAUAACGACGACGUCCAAAAGUACAUUUUUACACUCUUGACCUCGGAUCAGGUAGGGAUACCCGCUGAACUUAAGCAUAUCAAUAAGCGGAGGA